RNAcentral lists this ribosomal RNA (439 nucleotides) under uncultured bacterium. RNAcentral describes it as "partial 16S ribosomal RNA". It matches the Rfam family "Bacterial small subunit ribosomal RNA", at positions 339 to 795 of the family's 1533-position model. The record is from RNAcentral.
CUACGGGUCGCUGCAGUGGGGAAUAUUGCACAAUGGAGGAAACUCUGAUGCAGCAACGCCGCGUGGAGGAUGACACUUUUCGGAGCGUAAACUCCUUUUAUAUAGGAAGAAGAUGACGGUACUAUAUGAAUAAGCGCCGGCUAACUCCGUGCCAGCAGCCGCGGUAAUACGGAGGGCGCAAGCGUUACUCGGAAUCACUGGGCGUAAAGAGUGUGUAGGCGGAUUAAAAAGUCAGAAGUGAAAUCCUAUAGCUUAACUAUAGAACUGCUUCUGAAACUCUUAAUCUAGAAUGUGGGAGAGGUAGAUGGAAUUUCUGGUGUAGGGGUAAAAUCCGUAGAGAUCAGAAGGAAUACCGAUUGCGAAGGCGAUCUACUAGAACAUUAUUGACGCUGAGACGCGAAAGCGUGGGGAGCAAACAGGAUUAGAUACCCGGGUAGUC